This 361-nucleotide ribosomal RNA is filed under the name uncultured bacterium. RNAcentral describes it as "bacterial SSU rRNA". It matches the Rfam family "Bacterial small subunit ribosomal RNA", at positions 444 to 793 of the family's 1533-position model. The record is from RNAcentral.
AAGGUAGUGUAGUUAAUAGCUGCAGUAUUUGACGUUAGCGACAGAAGAAAGCACCGGCUAACUCCGUGCCAGCAGCCGCGGUAAUACGGAGGUGCGAGCGUUAAUCGGAAUUACUGGGCGUAAAGACGCAUGCAGGUGGUUUGUUAAGUCAGAUGUGAAAGACCCGGGCGUCAACCUACGGAAUAGACAUUUAGUAAACUAGGCAGACUAGAGUACUGUAGAGGGGGUAGGAAUUUCAGGUGUAGCGGUGAAAUGCGUAGAGAUCUGAAGGAAUACCGGUGGCGAAGGCGGCCCCCUCGGACAGAUACUGACACUCGGAUGCGAAAGCGUGGGGAGCAAACAGGAUUAGAUACCCUGGUAG